RNAcentral lists this ribosomal RNA (468 nucleotides) under uncultured bacterium. Its description in RNAcentral is "partial 16S ribosomal RNA". It matches the Rfam family "Bacterial small subunit ribosomal RNA", at positions 28 to 507 of the family's 1533-position model. The record is from RNAcentral.
GACGAACGCUGGCGGCGUGCUUAACACAUGCAAGUCGAACGGAAAGGCCCUGCUUUUGCGGGGUGCUCGAGUGGCGAACGCGUGAGUAACACGUGUGUAACCUGUCCUUGACUUUGGGAUAACUUCAGGAAACUGGGGCUAAUACCGCAUAGGAGCUCCUGCUGCACGGUGGGGGUUGGAAAGUUUCGGCGGUUGGGGCUGGACUCGCGGCUUAUCAGCUUGUUGGUGUGGUAGUGGCUUACCAAGGCUUUGACGGGUAGCCGGCCUGAGAGGGUGAACGGCCACAAUGGGACUAAGAUACGGCCCAGACUCCUACGGGAGGCAGCAGGGGAGAAUAUUGCACAAUGGGGGGAAGCCUGAUGCAGAGACGCCGCGUGCGGGAUGACGGCCUUCGGGUUGUAAACCGCUUUCGCCUGUGACGAAGCGUGAGUGACGGUAAUGGGUAAAGAAGCACCGGCUAACUACGUG